Molecule: long non-coding RNA, 1411 nt
Organism: Scylla paramamosain (green mud crab)
Lineage: Eukaryota; Metazoa; Arthropoda; Malacostraca; Decapoda; Portunidae
Exons: 3
Source: RefSeq, a predicted model, not a curated record
UAUGUCGACUUGUUCAUUUUUUAUUGUUUAUUGCGGAGAAUUUUCAGCUAAUUUUUCAUCAAAACAUAUAUACUAGCAUAAAAUAUGUGAUAUAGUAUCAUGUACACAUAAAAUAGUAGGUUGUUUGAAUAUUAUACGAACAUGUUACAUAGCCAAGUCGCAGUGACAAAUCGAACAUCUCCCAACCCGCUGCAGAUGAAUGAACUUUAUGUUCUCUUGCAAAAAUGUUGCGAAGUGAACGAAUGCAGCACAUGGGAGAAGAGGAGAGGAUACUUCUAUUAGACUUAAUCAAUGAAAGAAGAGGUGUUCUCCUCAGCAAAGCCACCAACCGUGACCAACGCCCGCAUUAUACCGGUCAAGGCAAGAGUAUGGGAGGAGAUCACGAACUCUCUUGCUGCCAGUGGUCUGGGGCCGCAGAGGACUGUAAAACAGAUUAAGAAGAUUUAGGAAAACAUGAGAUCAAGGGCCAAGAAGUUUGUUAGUGACCAGAGGAAAAAACUGUGUUGAACAGGAGGUGGUCCUCUAAGUCCAGUUGUCAAGCCAGACCCUGUAUUGGAGAAAAUCCUUGCUCUCAUCGCAGACGAGCUAGAACCGGACCCAAACCACAGUGACAGUGACAUGGCCAACAGAUGUCACUGUCGUUGUUAUUAAUGAGAAGGGAGAGCAGUUGGAUGAGCCGAUGGCCAUGACUGAACAGCCAUCCACAGCACGCUCAGUGCCUAUUUCGCUCAUGCCUGCCAGAGGAAAUGAUAGUGCACCUGCUGCUUGCACCUCUUUUGUUGAGUCAUCGGGAACUGCAGCUUUGCUCUACAGUCCUGCCAUCCACCGCACACCUCUUUCUUUAACUUCUAAGGAUGUUCAUGGAACUGUAGUGUCAUCCUCAAGCUCCUCCAACCACUGUACACCACUUCCUUCAACCUCUGUUGAUGUACAGUAGCUUCAAUUUGCAACAGUAGCUUCAAUUUGUAGCACACCUCUUCCUUCCACCUCUGUUUUGGCAUCGGUACCAGUUACCUUUCCAAGUGAAUUGUCACCAAUACAGUCUUCCAGUGCGAGAGGAAAAGUGAGUGGGAAAAAGUUUAAAGCAAAGAAAAGGCAAGUGGAAGACAGUGUUGGCAGAGAGUCCUAUGAAAUGUUGUCAAAGUUUCAAAAGGAAGAACAUGAAAUAGUGAUGCAAAUUCAUAAACAAAACUUAGAAAAUAAAAAGAUUGAAGGGGACUGUUUAUGCCAAGCAAUGAAAAUUAUGUCUUCUAUACAUUCAAGAGUUGGAGACACACUGGAAGAUGUGCGUGCAGAUGCAGGUGCAUUUGUAGAUUUCUUGGACAAUUCUAGAAAUGAUCAGGCAUAAAUUUGUUUUGCGGUGUUGCUGUAAGAUCAAGAUCCAAAGUUUCUUUACUCACCCAGUUUAGUA